AGCGAACGCUGGCGGCAGGCUUAACACAUGCAAGUCGAGCGCCCCGCAAGGGGAGCGGCAGACGGGAGAGUAACACGUGGGAACGUACCUUUCAGUUCGGGACAACCAAGGGAAACUUUGGAUAAUACCGGAUACGCCCGUAAGGGGAAAGAUUCAUCGCUGAAAGAUCGGCCCGCGUCUGAUUAGCUAGGUGGUGAGGUAACGGCUCACCAAGGCGACGAUCAGUAGCUGGUCUGAGAGGAUGAUCAGCCUCACUGGGACUGAGACACGGCCCAGACUCCUACGGGAGGCAGCAGUGGGGAAUAUUGGACAAUGGGCGCAAGCCUGAUCCAGCCAUGCCGCGUGGAUGAUGAAGGCCUUAGGGUUGUAAAGUCCUUUUAACGGGGAAGAUAAUGACGGUACCCGUAGAAUAAGCCCCGGCUAACUUCGUGCCAGCCGCCGCGGUAACAC
RNAcentral lists this ribosomal RNA (450 nucleotides) under uncultured bacterium. RNAcentral describes it as "bacterial SSU rRNA". It matches the Rfam family "Bacterial small subunit ribosomal RNA", at positions 29 to 526 of the family's 1533-position model. The record is from RNAcentral.